UUCACUAAUGGAUGGAACAUCAGAUCCAAUAUCUAAUGGUCUUUUUCAAUCUUGUUAAGCUGCAUUCCUCAAUAAUAUACUGUGAUGGUGCAUUACACAGAGCGAAUAUAUUGUGUGGGUGGGGAAAGUAUUUCCUUUUAUCCACUUACAUCUGUUCCUGUAUAAAUGAGUUAUUCUUAAAAUGUGAUGUUUGAGUUCAUGGAAAUGAGAGGGAAAACUCUAAAGGAAAACUAAUUUGCUAUAGUAGGAAAACAAAAACAAAAGAAACCAGUACUGGAAGAUUAUGUAUUGCAUUCUGUAUUUAAAGAAAAUGUAACGGUGUAAUGUAUUUCUGGGAGAGACAGUAGUGCUUGUUGUUGUUUGCAGAAACUUUUUCCUUUUGAGUAGAAAUCAUCCUAUGCUUGGCUAAUUCCACCUCUGGAAAGGAUAGGCUAUGAAAAAGAUUAUUUUUCUUGAGAAGUUUAAGGAAAAAUUAUUCAGCUCUGAAAAAAUCUAAAUGUGAAGGGAAACAUUUUCUCCUUAUGUUCUGAAUGAAAUGUUUGCAAUCCAAAAUGACUGAAGCUGGAAAACAUUUACAUGCAAUAAUAUUGAGAUGAGGAUUGCAGCACAUCAGAAAAUUUAAACUUGUAAAGUUCGUGCUACAAUGUUAUCUUUGUUACAUGGAGCAUAUAAUAAGGUUGAAAUGUCUGUGUAUGGUUAUGUUUUUGUUCUAAAGCCAUGCCUGCUUUUCAUUUUACAGUCACUGGACAUUCUGCCAGAGUUCUAGUGCAUGCUGCACUUUGAGCUCGAACCUCAUCAGACAGCCACCUCCAAACCCAAAAACCUACCAUACCAUAAUAGAGGGUCAGUCAUCCAUAGCCUGGGGGAAAAGGGGAUGAUGCCUUCCUAGGAUACUAGGCUUUCCUUUGUACCCUAGACACUGUAUGUGAUCUGGAGGGAAUGUUCUUUUGAUCUUCAGCCAGAGAACUUAAAAAAGCAAAAAUCAGUCGUGCAAUAAUAUUUCUGCUCUGCAGUGAUUUGCUUGUUCAAUUUAUUUUUGAACAUUUUAAAUGGGAUGCCUAUUUUAAAGGUUGAGUCUCCAGUAAGAAUUAAAUGAUAGUAGCAGGCAAGAGAUAGUAGCCUCGCAUGUAGAAUGCCUUUGUCUCACUGAUCUCAAGGAAGACUGCACUGUAAAACUGUCCUUUGCCACCUUUAGCUUAUGUUGGGGCAGCAACUACAAUUGCCAAGAUGUUAAUGAUCAGGUUACAAAAAAUGGCUAGCUCUAGAAGGAUUAAUAGCUAAUUGUCACAGAGCACUGAGGUGCCCUGCUCCUAGAGAGGAAAAACUGCUAGAGGAAAAGCCCUAGCAGUGGCUAAGGAGCACAGCUGCGGGUUGCCAGGGCAACUGGAGGGAGCAAAUGACCCACACCUGCCAGCGGUCAGCUGCCGGUAGGAGGCAGAGCCUGGCUCUUAUAAAGCCCAGGAGCAGAGACCUGAAACAGUUCCCUGCCAGCAGCCAGAGAGGCAGGAGCUCCUGGAGUAGGGAUGCGAGAAGCAGCGAGACCCGCAGAGGCCUGGUCCAGCUCCACCGGUUCCCUGCAGCCCAGGGCCCAGGAUCCGAAUUCUACCAGCCAAGCCAGCCCUCUGUCACCAGGACCUGACAACCUAUCUGCCAAAGGAGAGGCCACUGCCCUGUGACCAGGAGCUGCCCACUGAGUCUCACAGACACCAGGGAUCAUCUGGCUGCACCACCUGCAGCAGGAGCAGCACACCCUGUGGGAGAGCUGGCAGGAGAAGGUGCUCUGGAUGGAGUGGGCAUGCCACUGGGAGGCUCAGGACAUCCACAAACAAGUCCUGCAGGAGCUCCACUACUUUUGCUGUGUCCAUGCCAUGGCCAUGGAGGAGGUGUGGGUCAGGAGGGUGGCCCUGGAGCACCCGGUCACCCAGAUCAAGGGGGAGUGGCAGCUAGUCCUGGAAUGCUUAGAGGAGAUGCACCAACUCUGGGCCUCUAUUGAUAUGGCCAUAGUGCAUGAGCUCAGGGUCACCAAACACUGAUGGCCUCCAUCCCUACCCCAGCCACUCCUGCCACUUUGCCUUGGACUCUGCCAGCCCCACCACAACCAUCUGCCUGCCCUCCCCGCCCCCGCCAGCCUUCACCCCAGCAAAGCCCAGCUGGUAGCAGGUUGGCUGAAUAAUGUCACAGCUGGCUCCCUAUCAGGCCCCACGGGCCCACUGUCCAUUAAGGGGCAUGGGUCCUACCUCCCCCUCUCCCAGGCCCAGGCCAACCUGCGGCGGCUGCUGCACAGGAGUGUCUACCCUUUUUCCCCAGAGUAGCCAGGCCCUGGGCCCCCACACAUGGGGUGGUCAGAUCCAGGCUUGAGGUCAGGGUCAGGGCUGCAAGACAGCCAACCCCUGAGCUGCUUAUCCCUAUGCCUUCUUCCCCUGAGUUUCUCCCACCCUUCCUGACCCUCUCUCAUUCCCCUGGGCCACAUCUCCACUGUUUUCAUUGCUUUCUGGUUUGUGGUGUGUUUGUGCAUGGCGGGGCCUGGGUGAAUGGUAUUUGGGUGGUAGAGGGUGUUGUGUGGGUUAUUGUGGGCAUGAUGCACUGCUGGUGUUCAGGACAUUUUGGGAAGCAAAGGGGAAUAAAAUUGUUCUUAUUUUCAACAUGGCCACACUGCUCAUGCUGUUGCGGUCCUGGCAGUGGGCAGGGAUGGAGGCCCCUGGGCAAGUGGCCUGGCACUGGUGGUGAGAGAUCCAGUGCCCUACUCAGAGAGGUGGGCCAGUAGGUGGGUGGUGAUGGUGUCCUGCACUCUGGCUCCCAUGUGCCACUGCUGGAAGGGGUGGUCCUCACCCAUUACCAGCUCUACAGCAGCUGCUGCUAGAUGCACUGUGAUACACAGCAAGCAUCUUCCAUCCACUGGGGCUCAAAGACCUCUCCCCAGGACUUGUACACAUUAUGCAGGACACAUGCUCUGGGAAUGGUUGCAUUGCGACGCUGCCUCAAGGCAGGUGGCAAGGCUACACCAGCGCCCCUUCAGCCAGCCAAAUACCCAUUGGAUGGUGCAUUGGCAACGGGCAUGGACCUCGUUGUAGCUCUGCUGCCAAGCAUCCAGAGGUCAUGGGAAAGGGCACAUCAUUCAGGGGAGAAACAGGUAUGCAGUAUUUACCAUGAUCAGUGGUGGGAUGGUGACAUCCCCAGUGAUCAGGGCUUGCAUCCAUGGGGAGGAGGUCCAUGCCUCCGUGAGUCCUGGAAGUGGUGAGUGGUGCAGCACAAGGGCAUCAUGGGCACUCCUAGUCCACCCAGUGUAAAUAUGGGCUAAGUGGCUGUGAUUGUCUAUGACCACUUCAAGACCCCCCAAGUGGGCAUCAUGGCAUUUGAAGAUGGGGAUGUGGGUCUCAUCAAAUGCCCCAACACAGCUGAGGAAUCCAAGGGCCACAAACCUGACCACUACCUUCCCAGGGUCAGCCAGUCAGAUGACCUAGUCCGCCAGGAUGUCCUGGAUAGCUUCACAAACAUCCAGAAUGGUUUAGCCAGUCAUGGACUUCCCCACCACCAGGGAGUGGACCAUGUAUCAGAGGCUGGUAGGCGUGGCCAGCUUCAGGAUGGCUAUGGCCACACACCUCUCUGGGGUGAGGGCUGAACACAUCAUGGUGUCUUUACACUUGAUGUUAGGGGCCACAUGGGCCACCAGGCACAUAAAUGCACCUUUCAACAUCCUGAAGGUCUGCAACCAGCAUCCAUCAUCCCAGGUGGGGAGGACUAUGUGCUUCCACCUAUGUUUACUAGUGGCCCAGGCCCAGGUGUGGCAGUGGAUGCAAGGGGCAAUGACAGGAUCUUCAUUGUCAUCCUCUUCCUUGCUUGGGUCUGGGCUGGCAGCAGCAGGGGCUGGGUGUGGUCCUCCCCAGGGCCAGCUAGUACUCACAGCCCUGAGUUAGGCAGCAGACUCUGACCCCAGACCAGGCUGUCUGGAUCCAGUGGUGCUGCUGUGCAGUCACGGUCUGCUGGCAGAUGGCCCAGAGGAGCAGGCAGGUUUGGUGCAGUCCCCGUACCACAGCCCAGGUGGCCGUACAGUUCACAUCCAGGUCUGGCAGGUGUGCAGCCAAAGGGCCACAGGUUCAAGGGGGUGGAUGCUGUCGCAGGUUGCAGCAGGUCACAGCCAAGCAACAGUCUCUGCUGCCAGACUGCUGCAGCAGGUACAGGGACCACUCUAGGUCAGGGUUGCUGCAGCAGUCCAGCUGACACGGGGCUAGUGUCCCAGAUAUCAACUGGCCAGGCCUCAGAAGCUCCCAAGUGUAAGUAGCCCUGAGCUGCUUACCAGGGCAGCUUUUUAUACUGUUGGAGCCAGCAUGGGUACUGGCCCCAGCCUCUAGCUCCCCUUGGCUGUAGAUCUGGGCGGAGCUGGGCAGGGUCAAUUUGCCCCAAGCAGCACAAUUUGCCCUACCCCAAAGUGCAUGUUAAGGCAUGUGUGGUGAGGCACAAAUCUCUGGCACAAAUUUGUGCCUGUUAUUUGAGCUGCUGCAGCCGCACAUGACUGCAUGUGUGGACGUGCCCCAGGAGUCUUGAUGUCCAGACAGUAGGCCUGUGCGAAUCAGCAGCAAUCCGAUCUGGCUUCGGAUCCAGCUGCUUCAGAUGGCUGUGAUCUGAUCCGGAGCUCCAGACCAGGUUUCUGCCUCGAUCUGGCCGAAGCGGCUCCAAAGCUUUGGAGCUGCCGUGGAGAUCCAGCCAUAGGGCAUAAUGGGGAAUCAAUGAAAUAUCUAGAACUUUGUUGUUCCUUGUCCAAUUUGAAUGAAGCUUGCAGGGAUGGUGGCCUCUGCUGAACCCUGCCAAGUUUCAAGCUGAGAGCAUUAACCCUGCCAAGUUUCAAGAAGAUCUGUGUAGGGGUUUGGGGGGAACUGUGCUUGAAAUUCUUGAAAGCCAAACUCAUGUCAUGACUGUGUGUUACACCACAGGGAGGUCAAAACUGCAGGGGUGGUAGCUCUCACUGAGGCCACAAAGCCUGCCAAGUUUCAAGAAGAUUGGUGCAUGGGUUUGGGGGGAACUGCAUCUCAAGCUGCGGACAAGCAAAACUCAUGCCGUGGGUGACACUGCGUGUGUUAAGGUGUAGCGGGGUGCAAGCUGCAGGGAUGGUGGCCCCUGCUGUGAUGCCUGCCAGCUGUGGAGGAGAUCAGUGCAGAGGGGUUCUGGGGCCCUGCAACCCUAGCUGCUAACAGACAAAACUCGUGCCAAGACUUGUGUCUGUCUUGCGGCAGUUGAUUGUCUGUAUUGAGUCUUUCCUCUCCUUAGCCUGGUUUUGUAGGUGCUAAUUGAUGCGCCUUAAGUGGUUAUGUAGUAGCUAGGUCCUGUGUAUUGAGCUGGUCCCUGAGUCCCUGGUCCCUGAGUGAAUCAUGAUUGAUUGGUAAAUGGUAACACAGCAGCUUAGCAGCCAGGCCUGCAGCAGUGUCUCCCUCCCUGCCCCAAGACAGAGACAGUCAGUCCCAUAAGCACCCAUGGCACAAGUUUUGCGUGUCUGCAGCUUGAGGGCCAGUUCC
Long non-coding RNA from Alligator mississippiensis (American alligator), 5507 nucleotides. RefSeq lists it as uncharacterized. NCBI's taxonomy places the organism in Eukaryota, Metazoa, Chordata, Crocodylia, Alligatoridae. The transcript has 3 exons. The record is from RefSeq and is a predicted model, not a curated record.